RNAcentral lists this long non-coding RNA (209 nucleotides) under Setaria viridis. RNAcentral's name for it is "long non-coding RNA (SVIR_LNC007114)". The record is from RNAcentral. Lineage: Eukaryota; Viridiplantae; Streptophyta; Magnoliopsida; Poales; Poaceae.
GGGGGAUGGCCCACCUUGGCCACAACGUGGCUCCGCAAGUGUAGGCAUAGACACUUCAUGCAUGUACGUAGACUAACAUGCCUAUAUAUGAACAUGCCAACGCAGACUCUAUCCCUCACUUGUCACCUCCAUGAAAAUCUUGAACUAACAGAUCUUGAAAUUGACGAUAGUCAUAAUAAUAAUGCCUUUUGUGUUGAAAGACAUCUUGC